This 760-nucleotide ribosomal RNA is filed under the name uncultured Streptococcus sp. Its description in RNAcentral is "bacterial SSU rRNA". It matches the Rfam family "Bacterial small subunit ribosomal RNA", at positions 28 to 775 of the family's 1533-position model. The record is from RNAcentral. Lineage: Bacteria; Bacillati; Bacillota; Bacilli; Lactobacillales; Streptococcaceae.
GACGAACGCUGGCGGCGUGCCUAAUACAUGCAAGUAGAACGCUGAAGGAGGAGCUUGCUUCUCUGGAUGAGUUGCGAACGGGUGAGUAACGCGUAGGUAACCUGCCUGGUAGCGGGGGAUAACUAUUGGAAACGAUAGCUAAUACCGCAUAAGAGUAGAUGUUGCAUGACAUUUGCUUAAAAGGUGCAAUUGCAUCACUACCAGAUGGACCUGCGUUGUAUUAGCUAGUUGGUGGGGUAACGGCUCACCAAGGCGACGAUACAUAGCCGACCUGAGAGGGUGAUCGGCCACACUGGGACUGAGACACGGCCCAGACUCCUACGGGAGGCAGCAGUAGGGAAUCUUCGGCAAUGGACGGAAGUCUGACCGAGCAACGCCGCGUGAGUGAAGAAGGUUUUCGGAUCGUAAAGCUCUGUUGUAAGAGAAGAACGAGUGUGAGAGUGGAAAGUUCACACUGUGACGGUAUCUUACCAGAAAGGGACGGCUAACUACGUGCCAGCAGCCGCGGUAAUACGUAGGUGGCAAGCGUUAUCCGGAUUUAUUGGGCGUAAAGAGAGUGCAGGCGGUUUUCUAAGUCUGAUGUGAAAGCCUUCGGCUUAACCGGAGAAGUGCAUCGGAAACUGGAUAACUUGAGUGCAGAAGAGGGUAGUGGAACUCCAUGUGUAGCGGUGGAAUGCGUAGAUAUAUGGAAGAACACCAGUGGCGAAGGGGCUACCUGGUCUGCAACUGACGCUGAGACUCGAAGCAUGGGAGCGACAGG